UGGGGAAUAUUGCACAAUGGGGGAAACCCUGAUGCAGCGACGCCGCGUGAACGAAGAAGGUAUUCGUAUCGUAAAGUUCUGUCCUAUGGGAAGAUAAUGACAGUACCAUAGAAGAAAGCUCCGGCUAAAUACGUGCAAGCAGCCGCGGUAAUACGUAUGGAGCGAGCGUUUUCCGGAAUUAUUGGGCGUAAAGGGUACGCAGGCGGUUUAAUAAGUCGAAUGUUAAAGAUCGGGGCUCAACCCCGCAAAGCAUUGGAAACUGAUAAACUUGAGUAGUGGAGAGGAAAGUGGAAUUCCUAGUGUAGUGGUGGAAUACGUAGAUAUUAGGAGGAAUACCAGUAGCGAAGGCGACUUUCUGGACACAAACUGACGCUGAGGUACGAAAGCGUGGGGAGCAAACAGG
RNAcentral lists this ribosomal RNA (403 nucleotides) under bacterium. RNAcentral describes it as "partial 16S ribosomal RNA". It matches the Rfam family "Bacterial small subunit ribosomal RNA", at positions 355 to 776 of the family's 1533-position model. The record is from RNAcentral.